Molecule: ribosomal RNA, 254 nt
Filed under: uncultured bacterium
Lineage: Bacteria
Description: partial 16S ribosomal RNA
Rfam family: Bacterial small subunit ribosomal RNA
Source: RNAcentral
UACAGAGGUCCCAAGCGUUGUUCGGAUUCAUUGGGCGUAAAGGGCGCGUAGGCGGUCGUGACAAGUCACUUGUGAAAUCUCCGGGCUUAACUCGGAACGGUCAAGUGAUACUGUCGGACUAGAGUACAGAAGGGGCAACUGGAAUUCUCGGUGUAGCGGUGAAAUGCGUAGAUAUCGAGAGGAACACCUGCGGCGAAGGCGGGUUGCUGGGCUGAUACUGACGCUGAGGCGCGAAAGCCAGGGGAGCAAACGGG